AAUGUUGAUCAGCCACAGCAUGAAGUUAUGGGAAGGAGUAGCAGCUAGGCUUAGAAAACAGGUGAAGAUCUGUGAGCAGCAAUAUGGGUUCAUGCUGAGAAAGUGCACUACGAUGCAAUGUUUCCUCUGAGAAUAUGAUGGAGAAGUAUAGAGAAGGCCAGAAGGAGUUACAUUGUGCGUUUUGUUGACUUUUUAAAAAUCUUAUAACAGGGUGCCAAGAGAAGAGUU
Thalassophryne amazonica is the source of this 228-nucleotide long non-coding RNA. RefSeq lists it as uncharacterized. The transcript has 3 exons. NCBI's taxonomy places the organism in Eukaryota, Metazoa, Chordata, Actinopteri, Batrachoidiformes, Batrachoididae. The record is from RefSeq and is a predicted model, not a curated record.